RNAcentral lists this ribosomal RNA (1015 nucleotides) under uncultured bacterium. RNAcentral's name for it is "bacterial SSU rRNA". It matches the Rfam family "Bacterial small subunit ribosomal RNA", at positions 34 to 1053 of the family's 1533-position model. The record is from RNAcentral.
UGGUAGGGGCGGAGCUAACACAUGCAGUCGAGCGGAUGAAGAGAGCUUGCUCUCUGAUUCAGCGGCGGACGGGUGAGUAAUGCCUAGGAAUCUGCCUAUUAGUGGGGGACAACGUUUCGAAAGGAACGCUAAUACCGCAUACGUCCUACGGGAGAAAGCAGGGGACCUUCGGGCCUUGCGCUAAUAGAUGAGCCUAGGUCGGAUUAGCUAGUUGGUGAGGUAAUGGCUCACCUAGGCGACGAUCCGUAACUGGUCUGAGAGGAUGAUCAGUCACACUGGAACUGAGACACGGUCCAGACUCCUACGGGAGGCAGCAGUGGGGAAUAUUGGACAAUGGGCGAAAGCCUGAUCCAGCCAUGCCGCGUGUGUGAAGAAGGUCUUCGGAUUGUAAAGCACUUUAAGUUGGGAGGAAGGGCAUUAACCUAAUACGUUAGUGUUUUGACGUUACCGACAGAAUAAGCACCGGCUAACUUCGUGCCAGCAGCCGCGGUAAUACGAAGGGUGCAAGCGUUAAUCGGAAUUACUGGGCGUAAAGCGCGCGUAGGUGGUUUGUCAAGUUGGAUGUGAAAGCCCCGGGCUCAACCUGGGAACUGCAUCCAAAACUGGCAAGCUAGAGUAUGGCAGAGGGUGGUGGAAUUUCCUGUGUAGCGGUGAAAUGCGUAGAUAUAGGAAGGAACACCAGUGGCGAAGGCGACCACCUGGGCUAAUACUGACACUGAGGUGCGAAAGCGUGGGGAGCAAACAGGAUUAGAUACCCUGGUAGUCCACGCCGUAAACGAUGUCGACUAGCCGUUGGGAUCCUUGAGAUCUUAGUGGCGCAGCUAACGCAUUAAGUCGACCGCCUGGGGAGUACGGCCGCAAGGUUAAAACUCAAAUGAAUUGACGGGGGCCCGCACAAGCGGUGGAGCAUGUGGUUUAUUCGAAGCACGCGAGACUUACAGGCUUGACAUGCAGAGACUUUCCAGGAGAUGGAUUGGUGCCUUCGGGACUCUGAAACAGGGGCUGCAUGGCUGUC